GGGGGAUGCAAGCGUUAUCCGGAAUCAUUGGGCGUAAAGCGCCUGUAGGUUGUUUAAUAAGUCUGUUGUUAAAGACUAGGGCUCAAACCCUAGGAAAGCAAUGGAAACUACUAGACUUGAGUAUGAUAGGGGUAGAGGGAAUUUCUAGUGUAGCGGUGAAAUGCGUAGAUAUUAGGAAGAACACCGGUGGCGAAGGCGCUCUACUGGAUCAUUACUGACACUCAGAGGCGAAAGCUAGGGUAGCAAAAGGGAUUAGAUACCCCUGUAGUCCUAGCCGUAAACGAUGGAUACUAGAUGUUGCGUUUAUUAUGCAGUAUCGUAGCUAACGCGUUAAGUAUCCCGCCUGGGGAGUACGCUCGCAAGGGUGAAACUCAAAGGAAUUGACGGGGGCCCGCACAAGCGGUGGAGCAUGUGGUUUAAUUCGAUGCAACGCGAAGAACCUUACCAAGGCUUGACAUACUACAAAUUUCUUUGAAAGAGGAAAGUGCCUUCGGGAAUGUAGAUACAGGUGGUGCAUGGCU
RNAcentral lists this ribosomal RNA (521 nucleotides) under uncultured bacterium. Its description in RNAcentral is "bacterial SSU rRNA". It matches the Rfam family "Bacterial small subunit ribosomal RNA", at positions 527 to 1050 of the family's 1533-position model. The record is from RNAcentral.